GACGAACGCUGGCGGCGUGCUUAACACAUGCAAGUCGAACGGAAAGGCCCUGCUUUUGUGGGGUGCUCGAGUGGCGAACGGGUGAGUAACACGUGAGUAACCUGCCCUUGACUUUGGGAUAACUUCAGGAAACUGGGGCUAAUACCGGAUAGGAGCUCCUGCUGCAUGGUGGGGGUUGGAAAGUUUCGGCGGUUGGGGAUGGACUCGCGGCUUAUCAGCUUGUUGGUGGGGUAGUGGCUUACCAAGGCUUUGACGGGUAGCCGGCCUGAGAGGGUGACCGGGCAAAUUGGGACUGGGAAACGGCCCAGACCCCUACGGGAGGCAGGAGGGGGGAAUAGUGGAAAAGGGGGGGAAGCCUGAAGCAGCAACGCCGGGGGGGGGAUGGCGGCCUUCGGGUUGUAAACCGCUUUCCCCUGGGACGAAGCGGGGGUGACGGUAAAGGGUAAAGAAGCACCGGCUAACUACG
This 466-nucleotide ribosomal RNA is filed under the name uncultured bacterium. Its description in RNAcentral is "partial 16S ribosomal RNA". It matches the Rfam family "Bacterial small subunit ribosomal RNA", at positions 28 to 505 of the family's 1533-position model. The record is from RNAcentral.